GACGAACGCUGGCGGCGUGCCUAAUACAUGCAAGUAGAACGCUGAAGGAGGAGCUUGCUUCUCUGGAUGAGUUGCGAACGGGUGAGUAACGCGUAGGUAACCUGCCUGGUAGCGGGGGAUAACUAUUGGAAACGAUAGCUAAUACCGCAUAAUAGUAGAUGUUGCAUGACAUUUGCUUAAAAGGUGCAAUUGCAUCACUACCAGAUGGACCUGCGUUGUAUUAGCUAGUUGGUGGGGUAACGGCUCACCAAGGCGACGAUACAUAGCCGACCUGAGAGGGUGAUCGGCCACACUGGGACUGAGACACGGCCCAGACUCCUACGGGAGGCAGCAGUAGGGAAUCUUCGGCAAUGGACGGAAGUCUGACCGAGCAACGCCGCGUGAGUGAAGAAGGUUUUCGGAUCGUAAAGCUCUGUUGUAAGAGAAGAACGAGCGUGAGAGUGGAAAGUGCACACUGUGACGGUAUCUUACCAGAAAGGGACGGCUAACUACGU
Molecule: ribosomal RNA, 494 nt
Filed under: uncultured bacterium
Lineage: Bacteria
Description: partial 16S ribosomal RNA
Rfam family: Bacterial small subunit ribosomal RNA
Source: RNAcentral